This 220-nucleotide long non-coding RNA is filed under the name Mytilus galloprovincialis (Mediterranean mussel). The record is from RNAcentral. Lineage: Eukaryota; Metazoa; Mollusca; Bivalvia; Mytilida; Mytilidae.
AUUAAGGAGGUAGACCUAGGUUAAGGGAAAUAACUCUUAAAAUCAUCAGUACGUUUUGUGUCAGCCAUUUUCAUAAAUAUGUUCUAAGCUUCUUGGAUACAUAGAUUAUUUUCAAUCUGUUUCAGGUAAAUGCUUAAAAUUCAUUGAGGAAACUUGACUUUUACAAACACAUAACUGAUUUAAAGAGUUAUCUCCCUGUACCAAGGUCUACCCCCUUAAA